This 85-nucleotide transfer RNA is filed under the name Oscillospiraceae bacterium. RNAcentral describes it as "tRNA-Tyr". It matches the Rfam family "tRNA". From Rfam's summary of the family: Transfer RNA (tRNA) molecules are approximately 80 nucleotides in length. Their secondary structure includes four short double-helical elements and three loops (D, anti-codon, and T loops). Lineage: Bacteria; Bacillati; Bacillota; Clostridia; Eubacteriales; Oscillospiraceae. The record is from RNAcentral.
GGAGGAGUUCCCGAGUGGCCAAAGGGAACAGACUGUAAAUCUGUCGUCGCAGACUUCGGUGGUUCGAAUCCACCCUCCUCCACCA